Non-coding RNA from Pelodiscus sinensis (Chinese soft-shelled turtle), 2725 nucleotides. Lineage: Eukaryota; Metazoa; Chordata; Testudines; Trionychidae. The record is from RefSeq and is a predicted model, not a curated record.
UCCAUAGCCAUACAGCAUUCACUCCAAGCUGCAGUGGUUUUAUUUGUGUGAUACAUCAGUAUUGUUACAAGCUAUUUUCUACACACACUUAGGCUACGUCUACACUGCAGGGGGAUCUUUUUCUGCUUGUUUUUUCAGCAGAGACUUUUCCAACAUUUGGCUUGUCUCUAAAAUGAGGAAUACAGGGAUGCCGAAAGAACGCGCUUGCUUUUUCGGAAACUUUUCUGAAACCAGUGGACACGAUCCCUAGACGUGGCAGAGUAUCCUGAAAAACUCUGCAGUUUAGACAUAGCCUUAGGUAGCUGAGAGCCAUCUUCAAAAGAUCAGAAACACCCUCCUGUUCCAAAUGACAUUAAAGUCUGUAAGAGGAUCGUAGCUUUCUCAAUACCAGCCAGAAGAUUUCUUGACUUUUUAUUUGGAAGUUCUUUUGAAUGUGAGGAAACUUAAGGAGCUAAACAAAACAAAGAAUGAAGGGAGAUAUGAUUGCUCUCUAAAUACAUGAGCGGGAUAAACACCAGGGAGGGAGAUGAGUUAUUCAAGUGAAGGACCAGUAUUGGUGCAAUCCAUAUAAAUCGGACAAGAAAAUUUUAGGUUUGAGAUUUGAUGGUUUCUAAUCUUCAGAGCUUUCCCAGGGGAGUAACGAGGGCAAAAAAAACCUAACUUGUUUUCAGACUGCCUUUGGUAAGUACAGGGAGGAAAGGUAUGAUGACAUUGCAUGCAACAGCAUAUAGGCCAUUUGUAACUGCUAUUAGCAAAUAUCUCCAAUGGCCAGAUAUGGGAUGCUAGAGGGCUCUGAACUACUACAGAUAAUUCUUUCCCAGGUCUUCACAUGCUCAGGGUCUAACUGACCAUUGUGUUUGGAGUCAGGAAGGAAUUUUUCCCAGGUUAGAUUGGCAAAGAUAUUGUAUAUGGUGUGGAGGAAAGGCUGUUCAUCUUCCUCUGCUGUAGGGGGCACAAGGUCUCUUGUUAGUUUCAACUAGAGUAAAUGAUGGAUACUCUGUAGCGGUUGUAUGGAAUGCGUUAUUUUUCUUUGGAUCAGUUUCAGCUUUUGCAGACUGAGGAUGUGAACAGGGUGCUUGGAGGAGUGCGACCGACCAUGUGCUCGCCGAACCCUUGCCCUUUAUGGCUUAUUAAAUCGAGCCAAGAAGGGAUGACUGGUUGGAUCCAGAAGAUUAUUAAUGCGUCUUUUCGGUCUGGGACAGUUCCUGCCAACUUGAAAGAGGCGGUGAUAAAACAGUUCCUUAAGAAGCCUACCCUGGACCCAUGCAAUGUGAAUACCUAUCUUCUAGUCACUAAUAUUCUUUUCUUGGGCAAGGUACUUGAGCGGGUGGUGGUGUUGCAACUCCAAGCUUUCUUGGAAGAAACAGAUUAUCUAGAUCCAUUUCAGUCUGGCUUCAGGCCUAGUUUUGGAACAGAAACCACCUUGGUUGCCUUGGUAAAUGACCUACGCCAAGAGACAGAUGGGGGAGUGCAUCCCUGUUGAUUCUCUUGGACCUCUCAGUGGCUUUCAGUACCAUUGAUCAUGAUAUCCUUCUGGAGCACCUGAUGGAGCUGGGUAUUGGAGGCACUGUUUUGCAGUGGUUCCAGUCCUACCUGUCAGGACAUUCCAGAAGGUGGAGUUUGGGGGCUGCUGCUUGACCACAUGGUAAUUGUGCUACGUACGGGGUCCCACAACAUCUUGUCCCCUGUGCUGUUUAACAUUUACAUGAAACCACUGGGAGAGGUCGUAAGGAGAUUUAGGGGAUGGUGCCAUCAAUAUGCAGAUGACACCCAACUCUAUUUCUCUGUGACGUCGGGUACAGGUAUGGCAGCGAUCAAUCUGAACCAGUAUCUAGACACAGUGAUGACCUGGAUGAGAUUGAAUAGGCUGAAGCUGAAUCCAGAUAAGACAAGGUCUUGUGGAUCAGGAAGCCAUCUGUCCGGGAAUGUGAUGUUCUGGAUGGGGUCACACUCCCCUGAAAGAACAGAUAAGCAGCUUGGGAUUCCUCCUCGACCCUUUUUUAACAUUGAAAAUCAGAUUUUCUCACUAGUCAUGAGUGCUUUUGGGCAGCUUUGGAUGAUCCGCCAGCUGCAAGCCUUCCUGAAUAAGAACGACUUGGCUACAGUGAUUGAUGCCUGAUUGGACUAUUGUAAUGCCCUUAUGUGGGGCUGCCUUUGAAGAGUCUUUGGAAGCUUCAGCUGGUCCAGAAUGCAGCUUCUUGAGUGUUAACUAAUACUCGUUAUACAGAGCACAUUAUGCUAGUGCUUAGGCAGCUUCACCAGCUUCAGGAAAUCCAGAAAAAAUAUUAAAGAGCUGCAUGAUAGAGAGACUGAAAAUUGAAGAGACAUUGAGGAAGAAGCAACAACGCUGCUGAAAAAUUAUAAAUUAUUUACUCACCAUUCGGACUCUGUUCGACUUCACAAAAGCGAAUUCCUUCAGGAACAAAGAUAAAGGAGUGGACAUGGGGAAUGCCUUUCUACAGAUUUAAAACACACUUUAAUGCCUAAAGACUUCAGCUACAGUGGACUCUCUUGUGCUGGGCACUAUACAAACAUCAAAGUUGUAGCCUUUCAACUAUAUGUCUGAAGAGUGAAAUGUAGAUUAUUGAAAAUGGAUUGGAUUUCUUUAUGCCUCCUGUUUCAGAUGCUGUGUCAUAGUGUUCAGCAACCAGGAUUCACACUACCACUUGAACUGUUGUCUGACCGUUUACCCCAAAAGUUAGUCUUUGCAACAAGACACUCAAAG